UACGAAGGUCCCAAGCGUUGUUCGGAAUCACUGGGCGUAAAGGGUGCGUAGGCGGUUUGGUAAGUCAGAUGUGAAAUCCCGGGGCUCAACCCGGGAACUGCGUCCGAUACUGGUUGGCUUGAAUCCGGGAGAGGGAUGCGGAAUUCCAGGUGUAGCGGUGAAAUGCGUAGAUAUCUGGAGGAACACCGGUGGCGAAGGCGGCAUCCUGGACCGGCAUUGACGCUGAGGCGCGAAAGCCAGGGGAGCAAACGGG
This 253-nucleotide ribosomal RNA is filed under the name uncultured prokaryote. RNAcentral's name for it is "partial 16S ribosomal RNA". It matches the Rfam family "Bacterial small subunit ribosomal RNA", at positions 524 to 776 of the family's 1533-position model. The record is from RNAcentral.